Molecule: long non-coding RNA, 205 nt
Filed under: Prunus persica (peach)
Lineage: Eukaryota; Viridiplantae; Streptophyta; Magnoliopsida; Rosales; Rosaceae
Description: long non-coding RNA (PPER_LNC003280)
Source: RNAcentral
AAGGAAUUUGACAAUUUCACAUACACCGUUGCGUAGAGCACGACGAAAUGAGUUCGUAGACACGAAGUGAGCUCGAAUCGGAGCUUUAACGAAGAAAAUACGAUUAAAAUAUCACGAGGGGCAAAAUGGUAAAUUGGAAAAUCAGAUUUUAUAAAACCUCUCUCUCUCUCUCUCUCUCUCUCUCUCUCUCUCUCUCUCUCUCCCC